Phyllostomus discolor (pale spear-nosed bat) is the source of this 3014-nucleotide long non-coding RNA. RefSeq lists it as uncharacterized. The record is from RefSeq and is a predicted model, not a curated record. The transcript has 2 exons. Lineage: Eukaryota; Metazoa; Chordata; Mammalia; Chiroptera; Phyllostomidae.
GAUUUGUUGCCUUGUACACUUGCACCAACCAGGGACUGAACCUGCAACCUAGGCAUGUACCCUGUCCGGGUGUCAACCCCACAACCCUUAGGUUUACAUGCCAAUACUCCAACCAAAAGCCACAGUGACAAGGGUGAAUUUUGCUGGGUGACUUUAAUGUUAAGUAUGCAAUUUAAUUAGGCAGAUAAAGAAAUAAACUUCAUUGUCAUGGGAUUGUAUAGUCUCUUUAGUAGAUACUGAUAUAUCCCUUAACAGAAUUCUAAUCUUACAUACAUUGGGUUUUCAAAUAUUUUUGAAUGUGAAUGUCAAGGGUCUAAUUGUUGAGGUACAUACUAAAAUUUAGAAAUCUUAGGUUAUUGAAGUUUGAAGUGAACAAGAUGUGUUAUUACUGUUUCUUAGAAUCCAGAAAUAAUGGAAAUUAGUUGUAUUCCAUUGUCUGACUCGAGGGCCUUGGAGAUUGUGUUGAUUUAUGAGCUGGGCUCCCUAUUUUUCAGAAACAUUGCAUUAAUGAUUAAUGUGCAUCGGUUAUGUGAAUGAAGCCAAAGUUGUACAUUUAAUUGUGCCCUUUUUCUGUUACUGUUUUCUUAUAUGCUAGCCGUUAAAAAUGGAUCCCAGUGGUUAAAGAAAAUGGGCAUUGGGGGGGUGUUUCACCACCACUACUAGGAAAAAGAAAAACCCGUAAAUAACAUGUCUUAAUUAUAAUCAUCUGUACAUAGAAUUUCUCCUUAAGAUAUUUUAGGUGUUUACAACAGUGAGCUGGUUUACAGCACUCUUAAAAUGCAGAAGAUAAUUUUAAUUCUUGCAAAUAGAAAAGGGUUGGUUGGGCAAAUGGUGGGUUUUAAUGCUUUUCCCUCAGGAAUGAUUUUUCCUAAUCUCUUGGCUUUGCCCAGCUUCCUGAGUCAACUAUAAUGAGCCUUCCCUUUAAUAAAAGCAUAUAAUAGUACACCGUACAGUGUACUGUUCAGUGAAUUUUCAAUUCACCUACGCGUGGAUUUAAUGCAUCUACAGCAUGAACUAUUUGGCAAUAACUUUUUGGUACUGUAAUUGCAAAUUCCAUGGAAUGUAAGGAGCCACAGAAAAAAAUACCAUUCUCACCCACCAGGACUUGGUAAAUUAGCUAGUCCUUGACUAUAGAAGGUCAUAAUUUUUGUCUUUAUUUGUACUAGAAGGGGAAAACUAGAACCUUCGAGGAUAACUGGAAGACAGACUUCCAGGAUAACUAGAAGACUGCCAUGGGGGGAAUGUUAAAUACGUUUUGAAUUUUUUUGAAAGUUGAAUAUCAUCACUAACAUCUGCAUAGAAAGGAACUUAUGAUAAAACACAGAAUUUAUCUGUUUAAUAUCAGUAUACAAUUAUGCAUAAAUUUGGUGACGAUAUUCAUCUUACCACAAUUAAAGUGUUUCUUCCUUUUCAUGCCCCACAUCACGCCAGUUACUGCAGUAGCUUCGUAACUUGGACUUUUUGACCCUUAAAUUUUUCAGUCUUUAAUUGCUUUCUGUGGGUUUUUCAAUUAUAAAAUUAGUAUCAUUUUAAGCUAAAAACCAUUUGAUGUCAUCUCAGUGUGUAAACCUUAGUUAAAAUGAACUAAAGGAAUUCCCUAUGAGAUGCAUUUUGCUUUGCCUUAUCCUACCCAUUGUUCACUUAUCUACCAUAAUAUCCGAUACCCUAGCAAAAAAUUAUAAACUACUCUUGUCCUCAUUGAAUGCAGCAUAUUCUUUUAGGCUAGGAACUCAUUCUGCUUUACCGUGUUGUCUGCCAGAAUAAAUGCUUAGCAUUUAGCAUUGUGUAUGGUGUACAUAGCACAAGUGUAAUAAGUGCUCUUUUAAGUGUAUAGAUGAAAGCUGAUGACUGCAUAUAGAAAUUUGGUUAGUAUAAGCCAAUUUAUUUUAUGCCUGCUGUUGAAACCUAAUUCAAUCUAAGAUGCCUUAAAUAUGUGCUGAACAGAAAAGUGGUCAGAUUGUAAUGAUUAGAAGAGUUAGACUAUUAAUCUUUCUAUAUAUUGCUCACAAUCUAAGCUGCCUUAAAAGUGUACUAAACAGCCCUGGCUGGUGUGGCUCAGUGGAUUGAGUGUUGGCCUGUGAACCAAAGUGUUGCCAUUUAGAUUCCCAGUCAGGGCACAUGCCUGGGUUGCAGACCAGGUUUCCAGUUGGGGGCACUUGAAUGGCACCAGACAUUGAUGUUUCCCUCUCUUUCUCCCUCCCCCUCUCUAAAAUUAAAUAAAAUCUCUUCAGAAAGUGUGCUGAACAGGAGAGUUUAGAUGGUAAGGAACCAGAAGAGUUAGAUUGUUAACCUUUUUAUACAUUGCUCAAGUCACCUUUUGUGUGUUGUUUUGGAUGUUUUGUUUUUUAACAUAAAACGUGUGUGCACUUUAGUAUGCAUUUGUAAUUCUGAAGCCAAAUUCUGCAUAACUACUAUCCAGGUCAAGAAAUUGAGAACUCUGGAAGCCCACGUGUAUUGUACCAUGUUUUGUUUUGUUUUUUUUUCCCAGAAUAAGAUUUACUUUAAAUUUUUUAUUUUGUUGUUUAUGCUGUUACAGUUGUCCCCACUUUGUCCCCUUUUGUGCAUCUUCACCCAGCCCAACCCCCACCCCCAGAGUACUAUGUUUUUAAGAGAAAAUGAAAAUGAAGGGAACCUGGAGCUGGAGGGGGGAAAUAGUGUCAAGUAAAUACGGUAUGUUUACUGUAGAAAACGGAUGACUAAGAUGGUUCUUUGAUGGUCCUCAAGUACUUAAAGGGCUUUUCCUUCACAGAGGAAAUAGAGACAAACUCAAGUCGCAGGACCAGGGAAGAGCCUUUGAUAACACCGUCUAACAUUUUAACAUAAGCCAUAUUUACAGGACAGAACUGGAGCCAAGUAUGGAGAAUCUAAGUAGCUCCCUGUCAGGAAUGCUGCACUACUUGAAGCUUAACAUUCUGCUAGUUCUCUGCAUCACGUAUGCAUGAUUAAGAGCUACAGCUUAACAUGUGUGGUUUAUUAAAUUGGAUGUUACCAACUGAGAUUGUCAGUGAUAAUUU